UUUCGCAAUGCCCGAAAGGGUGACGAAGCGACGCCGCGUGGGUGAGGAAGGCCCUCGGGUUGUAAAGCCCUGUCAGGAGUUAAGAAAUAUAAGUGUGCUAAUACCAUAUUUAUUUGACGAAGGCUCCAAAGGAAGCCACGGCUAACUCUGUGCCAGCAGCCGCGGUAAUACAGAGGUGGCAAGCGUUGUUCGGAAUUAUUGGGCGUAAAGAGCACGUAGGUGGGUUUGCAAGUCAGAUGUGAAAGCCUUCUGUUCAACGGAAGAAUUGCAUCUGAAACUACGAAUCUUGAGUGUAGGAGGGGAGAAUGGAACUUCUGGUGGAGCGGUGAAAUGCGUAGAUAUCAGAAGGAACGCCGGUGGCGAAAGCGAUUCUCUGGCCUAUUACUGACACUCAGUGUGCGAAAGCUAGGGGAGCAAACGGGAUUAGAUACCCCGGUAGUCCUAGCCGUAAACGAUGGGCACUAAGUAGAGGGGUUUU
RNAcentral lists this ribosomal RNA (478 nucleotides) under uncultured bacterium. Its description in RNAcentral is "bacterial SSU rRNA". It matches the Rfam family "Bacterial small subunit ribosomal RNA", at positions 364 to 832 of the family's 1533-position model. The record is from RNAcentral.